RNAcentral lists this long non-coding RNA (29563 nucleotides) under Phoenix dactylifera (date palm). RNAcentral describes it as "long non-coding RNA (PDAC_LNC000487)". The record is from RNAcentral. Lineage: Eukaryota; Viridiplantae; Streptophyta; Magnoliopsida; Arecales; Arecaceae.
UUGAGGGACCUUAUGGGUUGGAAAAAAUGAGCUGCCUAGAGUACUCUGUGAUGUACUAUUUUUGACUUUUUUGGAUAUAUCUAUACUAGAAGGGUAUGAGCCAUCUGUAGAAAGAAAAAAAAAAAUUUCCAACGGAGUACAGCACAUUGGACAGCACAAUGCAUAGGGGACCUGGUUAGUCAUGACCUCCUACAAUACAUGGACAUUUGUGACCUUACCACUCCUGUUCAAUCUCUAAUUGCAAAGAAUCCUGAUUUCACUGUGAAAGAUCAGACGAUCCAUGUUAAUGGUGAUACCUCAAGUAGCAUGCUAAUUUUUGGCAGCACAAUUCAUCCGGCAGCUGUUUGAGCCAGCCCACUGCCCAUUUGCGUGCUUUGCUUGCUGCUUGCAAAUGAGAAGGUAGACCACAUCCUUCUUGGGUUGCAUAUGGGUCCAGGGGUCAAGUCUACGUGCCAACGUAUGGUACUACUGCCACUUAGCAAAAUUAUAUUCCCUCUGACCAUCGAAUUCUCGGUCUUGUUCUUGCUGAUCAAGCAAGAAUUAUACCUUGGUACACCACAUCAACAAUGCAUCAUGCCAAUCAAUUUUUUUUUUUUUGUAGGCUUCAUUCAUCAUUCAUUAUGCGGCUCAUCUUGAAUUGUUAUCUCCUCACCUCAUCUCGAAUUGUUCAUACGUUGCAUUGCUGACGUGGUGCACCUAAUGCAAGGUACAAUUUCUUCCUGAUCAAUAGAAGGACACCUGGCCUUCUUGCCAUGGGCUUCCUGCACCAUCAACACUUGGCAUCACCAUCAUCUCUUUCAUUAAUAUUUUCACCACCAAUUCAUCGUUCAGCCAGCAAAAGAAUCUAAUGCGGGGCUGGAGCUCCAUGGUCUGAAGUUCAAAUAAGAUGAAAACCCCCCGCCGGAACUACUUUAUCUAGAAGUUUGGACCAUAUCUCCAACUUUAUCUCAUGCAUACAUUCCUAAUCCAUUCUUUUCCGUCAUUCUUGUGUGGGCCGCGGGAAGACUUUUUUUUGGUGUCAACUUUUGCUUUACCCACCUGAGUUCAAAGAUUUGCUCUUAGAUUUGCGAAUCCUGACCUUAGUGGGUGGUGAUAUGAUGCAGAAUGGCUAUGCUUUUUAACAAAGGGAUAGACACAGUGUUGAGUUUUAGAUCCGCGGAGUAAGAUUUUCAGGUUUGGUGAGAUGGCUGCUGUCGGACAAAUGGACGGGUCGGCAUCUGCCGGCAGGAGGGUGUGGUCAAAGAACUAGAAGCGUGGCGAAAGGCCUGUUCUUUGGAUUCGGAUUCCUUCAGUAGAAAACAACCAGAAGGAUAGGCUUCCGGCGAUGGGGAGGGAACUAAGACGGUGAUGCUGAAAAAAAAGAAAAGCCUUUUGGCGACCGACCCUUGCCGACGUUGCCUUGCUUGCUUUGUUAUUCUAAGUACAAAGAGGACGUUGUUUUUUAAUCGAGAAACCAGCCUGUAAGAGCUGUUAGGUAUCCAAAAAUCCAGCCCCCGGCUUGUUUCGUCCAAGUUUUAAUGUCAAAAAGUAGACGUAUAUGCUGGCGUUUGUUCCCAUCACACAAAGAUGCUGACCGAAAGCAGUCAUGCCUGUCUAUUUAUAUAAAACAAAAAAAUCAAAUAAUACAUUCUGAUGCUUCAGUAAAAUUUUAAAAUAAUAUUAGAGCAAACUAGAUCUCAUAAUUAUGUAAAAACUUGUGCGGACAUAUUUGUAGUUUCAUAUCGGCUAAGACCGCUCCAUCGAGAUGGAAUAAAUUCAGACACACUUUGCUGUUACUGCACUAUUCCAAAGUGGGGCUAGGUUUGGAGUGAUAAAAGGGGGUAUUGAAUCUUAUCCAACGCUCUUCAUCUAAUUUACCUAGUAAUUGCACUAGGUUGAGCUCUUGGACAUAUAUUAUACUAUGAAAGACAGAUACUAUACUCUGAAAAAUGAAAACAUUGGAGUUAGAUUAUUUUUUCCCCUCCCGUUGGCUGUGAAUGGUGUUAUUGUCAAAUAUGGUGGUUAUUCAUCAUUAAGAUUUGAGCCUGAGACCUUUCUUAACUUAGAGAAGGAUACAACUCAGCUGAGCUAACAGUUAUUUUCAAGUAAUUUUUUCUUAACCUGAGAUCUUAGGGUUUGCUGUGAGCGGCAGUAGGGAAAGUUUUCGCUCUAGAGCUUAGCCAAUGUGCACCCAUUAACUUGAGAGCCUAAAUGGUUUGGAAUAUUAGUAGCAUGCAAGAUGUAAGGAAGCUGCUAUGGUUUGUCAAGAGUAGUAAUUAAGUACAAUAAAGGAGUUUGAGUAUGAGCUAUAAACACAAUAGCUAAAAAUUGCGGAGUAUUGCAAAAAUGGUGCUAGUUAUCAUGAUCACUGAUGCACUCGAUUCUCUUUUCCCUUCGGCGCCAUGGUAAUGCAGACUUCGUCGGCAAUGUCGAUGGUCGAGGAUUUUUUUCUUUUCUUUUCUUUCAAGAGAGCGUAAUUUGAAAAUUUCAAGUAAUUUGCAAGUGUAACUCUGGGUUAAGUUUGAUAUAAAAACCUGCAAUCAGACAUAUGGCAUCUUCCGUAUCUGCUGCAAUGUGAAAUAUAUGCUUUCUGGACAAACCACCCUGGCAAAGAAAAGUUGAAAAGUAUCAAAGAAUCAUAUGGAAAAUGUGCUGUGUGCGGAGAGAACUGGCAUGCUACUAAACAAGCAUGGCAUCAAAAAAAGAUGUAAUCGUCUGGUGGCUCAAAAGCAAAGGAUCGAUUCUGAAGCAGUUUAGCCAGCAGGAAAAAAAAAAUGUGCUUCAAUGCAUAACCAUGAUGGUGAUGUCCAGCUAGAAUGAUUGCAGAAAACCUUUCAGCAAAUCACCAAGAAGUUUGGAUUGGAUUUUACAAUGUUUAUUCGAAUGUUCAUAUAUGAUAUUACAAAUAUGAUUUGUGUUAGAAGACCUGGGGCUUUAUUCAGCUGAUACUUUACAAGCAUGGCUAACCUAACAAAGAUUUCAUGUAAAAUAGUUAAAUGAUUGAUAUAAAAUUUGUAAGGCUAAGCGCAAUACAUUGAAUUUUGAGAUGUGACUUGGAAGAACAACGCUGGCAAGGCGCUCUAAUUUCAAAUAGUAAAAUGAUGAUAUUUUUGAUCCAAAGAAACAUGGCCAAGUGGGUCAAGAGUAAUCGAACUACAAAUGUUCAUUCUUCUAAUACACGUUAAAUAGUGUUGGAAUAUAAACAAAUCUACCAAAGCUACUCUAAUUCUCUUCUUCUUCUUUUUCUCUUCGUUAUUUUGAUAUUUGUUUAGGUUCUCUCUUCGUAAGAUCCUGGGCCUAUAUACAUAGAGGAUCAUAUUUGUUUUAAAUGAUAUCGGAGGUCAGAUUUGUUUAAAAUCGUGACUUCAAAUUCCUUCAUACUGAUUAUUUAUUUAAUUAAUCUGAUUAUCAUCUUGACUCACUUCAACCAUUCUGACUAUCGAUUCAUUUCAGUCAUUCUUGUUUCUUUAUAUGCAAAAUCCAGGCUGCAUGUAAAAGAAUGCUAACUCCAACACUUAUUGUUGACCGUUUUCUUAUUAACUUAAAAAAAGGAAAUUUAAAUACCAUUGUUUCUCCAAUAAAUCUAAACAAUUACUUCGAGUGAAUGAGAGGAUAACUUGAAUGGUACUGCUUCAUCCAUGAUGUUGCAGCAAUUUUCUUGUUCUUUUAUUGAUUUAAUUUGCUUUUCUUUCAUUUUCUUGCUAAAUCAAUUUGAGUAUAAAGAGUUCUGGUAAAAACUUAGCAUCUGUUAAUAUCGAAAACCAAAAACCUGAUCCUAAAACAACAUGAUUGCCCAUGUUUCUUUUUGCGGCGUUGAGAAAUAUGGAUAAGAAUGCACAAGGGACUUACGUAAACUUUUUUCUCUUUUCCGCUUUCUUGGCAAACAUUGUGGUGGUACCUUCUACAUUACUUGUUAGUUGUUACCUAAUGGACUCAAAAAUCCCAAUCUUUAAGAUCUCAUUUGGUUUGUGGAAACAAUUUUUCCUCACUAGAAUAAUUUUUUUAAAAAAAUGAAUUUUAAAAAUAUGAUGUCUGAAAAAAUAGUUUUGACAUAUUUGGUUGAUCAUGAAAUUGUAGCACAUUUCAGAAUAGCUUAUAUUUAGUUAGAAAAGUAGUUUUUUCAUGUCCUAUAUUAUAUAGAAAUUCUAUUUUUAUGAGAAUACUGCUUUUCUAUCCUUGUUCUUUGGAAACUCUAACUAAAUAAGAUGUCCUUUUUUUUUUUCUGUUGAUCAUAUUGUUCUUUCUUCUCUUUCUUGCUAAGAAAACAAGUCUUAAAAAUAGUAGGGUUUUGGUCCUAUUCAAAACGUCUCCGACUCUUUCCGAGACCACCGAAUCAGCCUCGUGACGUGCCAAGGUGUACAAGUAUCGAUUCUCGCAUAGGAGAAAGCAAUGCAACUAUAGAACAUGGUUGGAACAAGAACAAUGCAAGACGAGAGCACUUCAUUAGAUGCCGCCGUGAGGUGGAUAACUGAUUAAAUAUUCUGAGCUUGUAGGUCUGAUUCUUCACAUGAGUGAACUCCUUCUUGUUCCAUGAAUGUUAUUGAAGCAAAAGCCUACAACGUAACUUUCACUGUUUCACAUGUAUAAUAUUAUCCACCUUUGAUCAUUCCCCAACCAGACAACCUUUUCCAGUCCAUUGUCAAGCUUUUUAAUUAAGCUCUCUCUCUCUCUCUAAUGCUCAGGUCAGCUGCUUUCCCAGAGUUUUUUAUAAGAAAGAGAAAAGCUAUAACUAGGGGCCCAUAAUUAUUACCAAAAAUUUUCUUUACAAAUGACUGACCAUGCGCAAUAUAAAUAUUUGCGCAAUUCUUGAAAUUUCUGUAGUUUAUAUGUGGGGUUUGGUUAAAGCAAAUAUUUAGUAAUCCAUUUAGGCCUUGGAGCGUUCUUCUUUGCAUGCCAAGAUACAGAUAAGACAAAAUAAUAAAUUAAUCAUAACUUUAGAUAGAUGUGAGCGUGUAAAGAUAUAUUAAUAAGUUAAUCAUAAGUUUAGAUGGAUGAGAACAACUAUUGAAAAGGCUAUGCACCAAGUUGUCUAUAUAAAUUUCAUUGCUCCACUUUUUAGAUGCGUAUAUGGCCGGUCAAAUUAGCUGUAUUCAUGAACUCUAUGAAACACCCACUUGACUUUGGAUAUUAUUUCUAAGGGUCUGAUGUUUUGUUAUUCCAAGAGAUAAGGUGAUAAUGUUUUCUGAGAAGAUGCGCACUCCAUGAACCAUCAGAGGAAACUUUUCUCUACUCCCUGACCCAUCAUUCGCGACAAAAAAGUAUUUGCACGUACACACAAACAGGAAACAAACAAAUGAAUCACAAAUCCAAGUUAUCAUUGUAGAUCUUUUUCCUAUCUCUUUCUUUUUUUUGAUUUUUUUUUUUUGAGAAUGGAAGAUGUUAGAAUAUUUUUGGAAUCACCGUAAAAACGUGCAUAUUAUUUUUCUUUAUUAGCUUAAUUUUGUAUCAAUCAGUAUUAUUUUUUUAUUAGUAUAAUUUUGUUAAAAUAAUUUUAAGAAUCACAUAACAAUUUGUAUCAGUAAGUAUUAUUUUUUUAUGCAUGAUGUUAUAUCAGUCUAUAUUAUUCUUUUAUAUUAUAUACAAGUAUAUAUAACUUCUGAAAUGUACCGAAUAUGACAGAACCUGCAAAUAUUUUAACAAAUAGAGAUCGAGGGUUGGGAAGAAGGAUAGGCUGACAUACAGAUCAAAACAAAAGAUGCUCACGUUUCUAUGCAACAAUAAUUUGAUGCGAGAUAUUAAUAAUUCACACAAGAUAGUUCCCUAUAAACAUGGCAUGCAUUAUUUAUCUAGAUAGUAUCAUGUUAAUUAUGGGUUGGACUUGUAUGAUGACUCUUCGAAUCAUAUUAUUAUGCGAGUAAUGCAAACAAAACUAAUCUCAUUAUUUAAAUUGUGCUUAUUUAAAUAUUUGAUGAUGCCAAGCUCAUCCUAAAUAUUUCUUGGAAUUUUGUUGCUGACUCCCAACACCAUGAUAGCUACACCAUAAAUGAGCGUAAUGGCUAGGUUCAGCUCGAGCCACGAGGGCUUAAAUCAAAUCUUUUUAACAUUUUGCCGCUUGUAGGACCUCAGAAAGUUUUUGCGAGAGUAAGGGGUGGAAGAGUAAUAAUUCACCACAUUCGAAAUUCCUUAUUGGGUGGCCCGUGACAACCAUGCACCCAUUCUUGAUCCCGAAGGGAUUAAAUAGCUUGGGGUAACUUUUUUGGAGCCGAACAACCUUAAAAACCCCUCCCCUCCCUACCUUGUCAUGAAAUAAAAAACGAACCCUCUCCCAGUCCCCAGCCACGCUUUCUUCCUCCACCCCGCUCCCUCAAAAUCCCCGCUCCAAGAAUUGCUUCUCUUCCUUCGCCGGACCGAAGCCGAAGCCAUCGUGAUCUCCUUCGAGAGCCAUCGCAUCGAGAGCUGCAGAUAGAAAUCGUAAUCUCUCUCUGUCUCUCUCUCUCUCUCUCUCUGUGUCUUUCUGUCAGCCUGUGGAUGUGAAGAUAGUGAUUGCUGUAGCAGAUGCUAGGGUUUUGAUUUGGAAAUUUUGUGUGCUGGGGGUAAAGGAACUGUCACUUCGAUUCCAUUGUUUUCUUGGGACUUUCUUAUGCGAGGGAGCGUGGGAAAACGAUUCUUACUUGGUUCUUGAGAGGUUUAGACUGUUCUUUAACGGACCCUUGGGGAAUAUGGGAACGGGAGGACGUCUUCUAGUUGAGAUUGAUGGAUCUGAAUGUAUUCUUGUGAUUCCUUUUUUUUUAUAUAGUUAUUUAAAAGCUUCUUAGGAGGAUUUUAGGAACGGGGUAAAUUUAGAGGUUAAGCUGGCAAGAUUUCUUGGUCAUAUAUAAAGUCGACUAAAAUUAUUUAAACAAGAUUCCUCGGUUAUUAGUUCACUGUUGGGAAAUUGUUGUUAUUUUUUUUCUGGGAGAGUAGAUUUUUCUUGUUCCUCCUGAACCAUGGCUAUGAAUUGGUUCAUUAUUGGAGACACCAAUCAUUGGCUGAGUUUCAAUUUGGCAUUUGCCCCGGACUAAAAUAGACGUCCGGGAUAUUCAUUAAUAGUCCCCUUUCAGAUGUUUUUUAUGCCUCUUUUUUUCAUAUUGUAUGGUUUUUGUAGUUAAAUCCGUCUUGCUGUUUCUUGAAGACCAAACGGAUGCUGAACUUGAACAAUUUUGGGUUCCUUUGUUAGUUGAUGACAAGAAUGGUGAGUAUGAGGAUAAUAAUGUAGCAGUGUAUUUUGAGCAGUAUGUCUUGCAAGUAAUCUGCUCAUAAAAAGCAAAAUAGACAGUUUAUUUGAUUCUUUCUUUCAGUUUCAUAGUGUUAUAUGCUUGUAUCAUGCCAAUGGAAAAGUAGGGCUGGUAAAUCAGGGGUUGGUGUAAGCAUUCUUGAAGAUCUAUAUAUUUUUAAGAUACUGUAAUAGCAUAGGCUUCUUGGUGGUUCAGCUUGAUGCCAAUGCCAACCUGUGGUGGCUGGUGAGUAUCUAAGCAACAGAACAAUUUUUAUUUUCAAGAAAAUAUUAUACCACCCUGCAAGAAACCAAAACUUGAAGGUGCAAUCUGUUUUGGAAUAAACUUUUGAACUUUGACAAAUAACUCCUUUUCAUAUAAUCAAAUAACAACAGAAAUUCUGGACCAAAAAAGGGUACCAAUAUGUUGUUUGACUGUGAUAGGAAUGACAAAAAUCAUACUUGUAAGAGGGUGGUGCAAUAUGUAUUGCACCAAAAUUUUCUUUGACUGCUCAGAGCUCAACUGAGAAAUCAUUGUGAGAAUGCAAUUUUAAUUUUGGAUGCAUAGCACCAUUGCUUCAUUUUUCUUUUAGCUGGUGUACUGUGAUGCAGUCUUUGAUAUCAUUUCUUUUCUUUCUUUUAAACUAGUGCGGAUGCUCGAAGUUUAGAUUCUACCAAGGAACGAAUUCUUUGAGACAGUAUGCAUGUCAGCCCCUGGGGCGCUUGCUGAUGCUGUGGAAGCGUCCUCUUGUUCAGGAAGUGCUAGGCUGUCCCAUGACACUAGUUGUGUUAGCAACAAAGAGUACUUGCUCAGUUUUGCCAAUGGACAGGAUGUUCGUUCUUCCACCGCACAGAUUGGUUUUCCAGUUGGUGAGCUUGUACUUCCAAAUGGGGAUAAGUAUUCUGGAACACUGUUGGGCAAUAUGCCAGAGGGGUCAGGAAAAUACACUUGGUCAGAUGGUUUCAUAUAUGAGGGUGAAUGGAAAAGAGGGAUGAGACAUGGGCAUGGGAAGAUCACAUGGCCUUCAGGAGCUGUUUAUGAGGGAGAAUUUUCGGGCGGUUACAUGCAUGGUACUGGCACAUAUGUUGGCCCAGAUAAUCUGACCUACAAGGGACGGUGGAAGUUAAAUCUCAAACAUGGCCUGGGAUAUGAAACAUAUCCAAAUGGAGAUGUCUUUGAAGGUUCCUGGAUUCAGGGAGUGGUAGAAGGGCCUGGUAAGUAUGUCUGGGCCAAUGAAAACAUCUAUGUUGGCAACAUGAAAAGAGGAAAAAUGUCAGGGAAGGGAACUCUUACUUGGAAAAAUGGCGACAAGUAUGAAGGCAAUUGGCUGGAUGGCAUGAUUCAUGGAUUUGGAGUCUACACCUGGAAUGACGGUGGCUGCUAUGUUGGAACAUGGACCAGGGGUUUGAAGGAUGGAAAAGGAGCAUUUUAUCCAAAAGGAUGCAAAAUUCCAGCUGUACAGGAGCUUUAUAUCAAUGCUUUAAGAACGCGAGGGAUGUUGUUAGAUUUGAAAAGGCAAAACCAUGGGCAACGUAUCCUUCAUUCUUCUUCUAUUGACAUGGGAAACAUGAAGGUCAGCGAGACCAAGGACUCAGGUAGUGGCUUAUCUGGUAUUCUUCCUAAAGGAAACCUAAUAAGUUUUGGGCAAUCUUGCUCCCAAAGAGUGUCUCUGGAAAGGCGUUGGAGUCUCGAGGUUGCGAUUGAAAAAGUUAUUGGACAUGAUACGUCUGGAGAAUCUGUUUUAGAAAAUGAUGAGAAGGUGGUAGAUACAAAUGUUCCAAUCUUGGAGCGGGAAUACGUGCAAGGUGUAUUAAUCAGUGAAAUAGUAACCAACAGUGACUAUCCAAUGUUAUCUAAAAAAGCAAAAAGACGUCAAAAAAAACUGGCAAGAGACAUAAAACAGCCUGGAGAGACAAUAAUUAAGGGCCAUAGAAGUUAUGAUCUAAUGCUUAGUUUGCAGCUUGGAAUCAGGCAAUAUUCUCUCUUCUGACCUUGCCUGUUUUAAAAUACUGCACCUUUUUUUCUUUAUUUAUUUACAUUCUUUCUGCAUUACUUUAUAUUUUUCUCUCUUUCUCACCAUUUGUAUUGUAGGGAUUGUAUGUUGCAUUGUUUGUUGACGAAAUUCCUCUUGGGCUGACACACAAGUGAUUAUUGGAUAGGUUUCUGCUGGUUACUGAGCAUUGUUAUAUGAUAUUUUGCACAUUUGAUUUGCUUAAAUUUUGUCGAACUCUUUGUGGUACUUUUAUUUGUGAACUGCGACAAAUUAAAGCUAUUGCAGAUAAUAGGUAAAUAUAAACCAAUUCUUAGUUGUUCCUUUGUCCACCAGAUUACUUACUCUAGCAUCCCGCCUGAAGAAGAAAGAAGCAUACUUGGAAAAAGAAAAUUGAUCCUUGAGUAGGUGAUGUUCUAUAGACUCUNNNNNNNNNNNNNNNNNNNNNNNNNNNNNNNNNNNNNNNNNNNNNNNNNNNNNNNNNNNNNNNNNNNNNNNNNUCACCAAACUACUGGUGGCUCACCGGUACGGUUUCGGACGCCGGUGGAGGGCCGUGGGAGGGCGGCAGUGGCUGUGGUGGACGAGGCUGCGGCCAGUUCCACGAUUAUUUCUGCCACCCUUCACCAGCCUCUCUCCCCCUUCUCUCUCUCUCCCAUGGUACCAAUAAUCUCUCUUGGCACAGGUCCGACACUGCUCGUACCGAGUCAUCCCACUGGAGAACUGGUACGGUGCCCAGUAUCGGUUUCUUCGACCUUUCUCUAGAGAAACACAAUAAUUUUCAGUGCUUGUUUGACACUAGAAUAAGAUGUCCAUUUUGUGCGUAAAGAGUAUGUAACAUCAUGGAUGAUGUUUUAGAAAGAAAAAAUUAAAGUAAUGGGAAAGAUGGUAGAAAAAAGUAGGAAGAAUACUGUAUGCAUCAGUUAAAGGCACGUUUGUUGUUAUAAGCAUUUUACAUGUAGCCGCUACUCCUAAUGGUAUGUUUCUGCUACAUCUUGUAAACACAAUUUGAAAAACCAUUGUCUUAUUAGUUAUUACCACCUUGAUGAGUCAGUGAUAGCAUGUUUUUAUUUGUAUUACAGUCAUGUUCUGAUUUUCCUUGAUGAAACAAUAACAAAUUGGAGCUGGAAAUCCUGUAUUCGAGGUCAAUUUCCUUUAUUAACAUGCAUCAUAACUUGAUCUAAAGAAUCAAAGCAAAUUAACAUGACUCGAAGAUAAGAAACUGAAAGUUUUGUUCUAACAUAAAGGAAUGUCAUUCUUAAUUUUGUUUCAGUUUGUUGUCGUGAUUUCUAUGUCUUGAGAAAACUGGAGAAGAAAAGAUUCAAUAGAUAGGAUUCCAAUAUGGGGUUCAAUUAUCACGUAUCAUCAAAAACAUCACAUGUAGCCUCCAUAAUUUCAGAUGAAUUGAAUUGUAACGGAAUCAUUUAUUUUGUUAUGAAGCUGAUAUUGACCAUGAAUGAGAAUGAUUUUUAUUGGAGAAUGAAUUGAAUUUGGACAAUGAAUUGAAUAUUGAUAAAAAAGGAUGGCCCAAUGAACGAGGCUCCUGCCAGUGCGGGUUUGGGGAUGGUUAGAUGUAUGCCCUAGGGUGUGAUGAGGCUGUUUCUGUAUUUUAAACACGUGACAACCGUGUGACAAUAGGGCAAUCUUAACAUUGCACUAAGGCUUGCCCUUAAUUAAUUAAAUAUUAAUGUAAAAUAAAAUAAACAUAAGGACAUAAAUAUAAUAUAGAAUUGGAUUAAAAAAAUGCUAUAAAAAAUGAUACAAAUAUAAGAGUGAAGAAAUAAGACGUGCUGGUUCACAGUUGUGGUCAAAUCAAUUUGAUGUUGAUGGAUCCUGUACUAAGAGGGUAAUUGUCUAGGAUAAAGAUCUGAAGACCCAAUAUGAUUUUCUAUAGAAAUGCAAAGGAGGCUGAAACGAUCUCUCACCUUGAUUUUGGGUUCAAAUCAAAUGGAAAAGGUUAUCCCCUGAUUUGUGCUUAAAAGGUUAUCCAUAUUGUUGACUGAUCCUAAUUCUAGACCUAUUGGAGUUGGUUUUAGGUGCUUUUGGCAGCUAGUGGUGAAGUUUGGAGGAUAGUACUGCUUUUUAGCCACAGUUCUUGCAAACUUUCUUCCAUCUAUCAGUUGGCUACAAUAGUCUCGAUGAUGCCUGUCAAAAUUCAUGUGGUGUUGGGUUGGAUUGCGGUCAUCUUCUGAUGGAUGAAAGCAGCAACUAAUAUUCGGGUUGUGAAAUCUUAUGUGGAUAAUUGCAUAACUUUUAGUUUGAGAUUCACAUUUAAUGAUGAGUGGGUUAACCACUGUUUACCACAAUCCCAAGAAGAUGCUUCAUGACUAUGAUCCAGAGAUGUCCUUGUAAAUUGGGAGCAAAUGCUAUGAUAAUAUAGUUUUGCAUCAGUUCACUAAAUGGUUGCAAACAUGUGAUACAUAGUAACGUCAAACUGUAAGCCCUGUGAUGUGAAUUUGGAAAUAAUAUGACUAAUGGAUUGCAUAAAAACAAACAUGUAAUGCAUUAAUAUAGAACUGAUUAUGCAUUAAUAUUAUCAGUGUGAUUUAUUUACUUGUAGAAAGCAGGUCAAACAAUCGACCUUAACAAAUAUGUGUCUAAAUUUAUUGAGUUUUUUUAAUUCUUCUCAAUCUUUUCAGUUUGAAUGUACUCAAACUUCCAGGAGUCAUACAUUGCAGUUCUAGAUGUCUUGUUGGAUCUCCAACAACUUCUCAUGGUCUUUAAGUUUUACAAUUUUAAUAUUUAGGUUGUUCUUACAACUUCUUAGAUGACAAAUGAAUGGGAAUGUAGGGCUUACAGAAAUCUAGUUUAAUGUAGUAUUCUGAUAUCACGUGGAUACUCAUCAUAUCAUAUGAUAUGAAAUUCUUCCGCAUGAUAUUCAGUUUCUGAAUUUGUCACCAUGUGCUACUUAAGCAUUCACAUACUCCCCCUGCCUUCCCUCAAUCAAGGAAACAUUUUGCUUAUAGUUUUGCUUGCAGGAGAUUAUUAGAAGACACUAUGAUUUUUUUUUUCCCUUUUCACUGUGAUCCUCAUGAUCAACAUUGUCAUGAGUAUCAUUAUAAUUAUCAUCACUUUUAUCUUCAUAACUUCAAUUAUUGUUGAUAAUGAGAUACUGAUUAAUGGAGACGUCAGUAUGAAAGUCACAAACAUCGGCUUAUUAAAUAUGAUACUAUCUUUAGAAGGUUUCCUUGGCUAAAUGGGCCUGUAAGCUUUCAAAAGUCAUUACGUUUAAAUUCACUGUUGUUUUUCUUGGUGCUCAUGUUGCUAAUUUUGGUGAGGAAUGUUGGCUUAUCUAUAUUGAUUCUAUCCUUAGAUUGGUUGUUUGAUUUUAUGUAUUAAUAUGCUUUUCAAGUGCUUGCUUCACAAAUAGAAGUAUUUGUACGAUCCCAAUCUCAUGUUUAAAAAAGUUCACAAUUUUUCUAGUAUUGUUUAUCAUUAAGAAGUCCUACAAGAUAUAUUGGCAAUUUCUUUUGAUUAAAAGCAGAAGAUAUGAAGAUAUACCUCAAGAUAUCUUGCCUAUGUUACUGGAAAUUUCCAGAAGACUGACACUCAGUAUAUCUUAUUUUAAUUCCCAGGUAUACUGUAGGAAAAAUUACCCCAAUACAAAGGCGUGAAGUUCGUGCAUCAGAUUUUGGUCCUAGAGCUAGCUUUUGGAUGAAUUUUCCUAAAGUAGGGUCGCAGCUGACACCUCCUCAUCAUGCAGAAGAUUUUAAAUGGAAAGACUACUGUCCAAUGGUUUUCAGGUUUGUAAGGAACUGCAGUCAACACCUUUUUCUGUUUGUUUAUUCUGUUAGGAUGUUUAUUAUUAACUACUUUCAAGGGGCUAUCACCAUUUUGUUCGCUAGUUGUAUUUACUAACAUCUGUAUUUUUCUUUGUGUUUUCUUAUAUAAACUACUUUCUUAUAUCUGUGGCUAUGCUAAUUGCUUGGUAUCUAAGUGUAAAAGUGUUCAUUAGAAGUUAUGAUUGUUUUUGACCUUCCAAUGUUUUUAGUGCAUUAAUGUCUUUCCUAUUUAUAUUGUUAUCUCUUGUUAGUUUUUGUUGCAGUUUGACUAUUGAAAUCUUAACCAAUCACUUCAUAAAAAGUGCAUUUUUAAGAAUAAUUUUCAAGUUCCCUCACAUAAUAUGUUCAACCACUCUGCUCAAUUGCAGAGCAUGUUAUUUGUGUGUGUGUGUGUGUGUGUGUGUGUGUGAGAGAGAGAGAGAGAGAGAGAGAGAGAGAGAGAGAGAGAGAGNNNNNNNNNNNNNNNNNNNNAGAGAAACUAAAGUAACAAAUAACUCUAAUGGAGAAUCCUGCUCCAAUCGCCCUCCCCCCCCCCCCAACCAAAUAAAUAAAUAAAUAAAUAAAUAAAUAAAUCAAGUUUUAGGCUGAACCUAGUAAGUCCACAGACUAUUUUGUCAGGGUUGAUUGCUAGUUACCCUUCACCUUGAAAGAAGAUUUCACAUCGUUUUUGCAAAUGUUUCUGGCCUUUCUGUUAAUUUCAGACCAUAUGUCUGGGUUUUCCUUCAAUGAACUUUUAUGGGCUUUUAUUGCAUAUGUGCAUAUGACGAACCUGUAUUAGUUUGUUGGUCCUUUAUCACGAACAUCCUAAUUAAUAUAUUGGCAAUCAUCUAUCUGUAGUGUUUAUGUGAAGCCUGUAUUAUUUAUUGCAAACACAGUAUGCAAGGAAAAUUCUAUUUUAUGGGGCAAGUGGAUGUGCCUGAUCUGCCUCUCUGCUUAUCUCUUGUGUCUUAACGCCCAGAUGCCCAUGCGUAAGCACAGGGCAGUCAAAGACAGGAAAAAGUGGGCAAGCAGUUUGUGAGUGCGCCUAUCGGAACUAUAGUAUUGUCUGUAGUCUGUACUAUAAAGCAUGUCACUGGAACUAUGUGAGCAUUAAAGUCUUUUGAUCUGAACUGGUUCUAGCAGCCAGUCUUGAAUGAGAUAGCAUCAGUGUACAGCUAAGUUUUAUACUUAGAUGUUAGUUAUGUGACUCCAACAAACAACUAAUACCGGGGUGGUUGGUUUGCUUGUUUACAUAUAAAAUAUUUGUGCCAGCACCCCGUUAGCAGAUAUGUCGGAUUUCAUAUUAAGUUUUUCAUCUAGAAAAAGGCCACAAGAUCCAUGCAGUUCUGACCUGGCUGACUCACUUGAAAUUAGCUAGUUAAUGCAGUUCAACUGGUUCUAGGAACAAAGCUUCCCUCGUCAAGCAUAUUUCUAGCUGGUCGAAAACAGAGCUGACCUCAUUCAGCAGGCUGGUUUGGUCAGGCUUUUCUCACACUGCUUUGAAACAGAUUUAUUUUCUUAUGUACUUAUGUUUGGUGCAUCUUCAUUUCUGGAGGCAUAUAGUGGUGUAUGUUUGAAUAUGAUUGUACUAGACAAACGUGUCUUAACAUAAGGUUUAUUUGUAUAUAUUUCUUUCAUCUUUUGAUUGCAGAAACUUGAGGGAGAUGUUUAAGAUAGAUGCUGCAGAUUAUAUGAUGUCCAUUUGUGGAAAUGCAGCACUUAGAGAACUUUCUUCUCCUGGGAAGAGUGGUAGUGUCUUUUUUCUUUCUCAAGAUGACCGGUUCAUGAUCAAGACACUCCGCAAAUCUGAAGUACAGGUGCUUGUCUCCUCAAAUAUCAUAUAGAUCUAUAUGUAGUAGGUGGACAAUAGUUAAAACUGGAAUUUAUUUCAAAGGAAAAUCUGAUUCCAUGCUGUUAUAAGAUACAAAAGCAUCAAUCUGUUUUGUAUAUACCUACUGUUAUAUUUUGUAUGAUGAAGUUAUUAUUCGAAAAACAUACUUGGUGUAUGAGAACUAUGUUUCUGAAUCUAUGUAUUCAGAUUUCAGCCUUUCGGUGCCUGUCAGCUAAAAGCAAACCUAGUCAACCUUUUAUUUGUCAAAUGAGUGUUGAUCAUGUUAUGAUGACAGUUAUUUCAGAGAUAUGAUCAUUACUUUGGAGGAUGGCCACCAUAUUUGUGAUAAUCUUAAACUUUUGCUGCAAUAAAGACUGGCAUCCCAAAUUUUUGAUUUCCCAAAUUUUUGAUUUCCCAAAUUUAUCAUCUCUUCUGGAUAUCCAAGAUUCUGUUCAAUCCAGUUCAAUAUUAUUAUGUAAUAUACAGAAAAUUAACUUGUUUUAUUUGCUCUUAGUGCUAGUCUAAUUGAAGGGAGACUGAUAUGCUUGAUUUUAUGCAUCUUUUUUCCUCUCUUAUGGUGAUGCAUAGCCUGGAAUUUAGUUUUACAAAUAUUAUUUGUUAGAUAGAAUAUCCACUUCUAUAUAUGUAUGCUGAUCCUUUAUAAUAUUUGCUUCCUGGAAAUGUUCUGUUCUUUGGUCAAUUUGUCAGUUAUCAACUCACUAGAUGCAUAGCCUGGAAUUUAGUUUUACAAAUAUUAUUUGUUAGAUGUAUCCACUUCUAUAUAUGUGUACUGAUCCUUUAUCAUAUUUGCUUCCUGGAAAUAUUCUGUUCUUUGGUCAAUUUGUCAGUUUUACAACUCACUAGCACAUAAGCAUAUAGCUUUCGGAUGAUAUUUUUGCGUGAUUAGAUUAUUCAGAAUCAUGAACAAUCUGAAGUUACUAAUAGUUUAUAAUUGUGUAGGUUCUUUUGCAGAUGCUUCCAAACUAUUUCCAUCACGUGCGUACAUAUGAGAAUACACUCAUAACUAAAUUUUUUGGUCUCCACAGGGUGAAACCUUCCAGUGGGCAAAAGGUAAUCCCUAUGCUCAGUAAAAUGUGCCUUAGGUACUCUAGUUGGUUUUAGAAGUAAGUUUGGCACAUUAUUGCCGCACUCUUGGAGGUUUGCCUUUCAUAUCUUAAUAGUGAUGUCAUUCUUUAUGGAGCAUCAAUGUUGCAUUUGCAGAGUUAAAGCAGCUUUUCAUUCUUUAUUCUUUCUAAAUGGCAGUUCCGGUUCGUAGUAAUGGGAAACAUGUUUUGCACAGAAUUGAGAAUUCAUCGAAGAUUUGAUUUGAAAGGGUCAUCCCUGGGACGCUCUGCAGACAAAAUUGAAAUUGAUGAGAAUACAACACUAAAAGAUUUGGAUCUAAACUACUGCUUCUAUUUGGAACCUUCUUGGCGGGAUGCUUUACUGAAGUAAGAAAUGUUCUUAGAAGCAUUAUUAUACUUUCAAUAUAAAGUCAUUCAUGCCCGUUAUACUAAUCUCCUUCUUUCUUGGGAUGCUAAAACUAUGUUACAUUGGCUCCAAGAAAAUAAGGGUAAUGUGCUUUCUGCUUAGUUCUUUUCCUUAGUAUGAUGCUAUGGUUCCCAUAUAACACAACCAGAAUCUUUUUGAAGAUGUUUCUGUGUUCAAAGUUUAGUAGCUUUUUAAUUGUAUUAUUAUUCAUCUUAUGUUUGCUUUUAUUAUCAUAAUAUGCAUGCAUAAUUGCAUCUAGAUAAACUCGAGUAGAAAUAAUGAAAUUGGUAUCUAGCCUUAUAAUUAUCUAUAUGGGGAACAUUUUUGGAUUUUAGAUUUAAAAUAAAAGGUGCUUUCCUGAAAUAUGAUUAAGAACAUCCGAAUCAUCCUCCCCACGACAUAGUUGAUGCAAAGCAGAAAUUUGAGAUAAGGAAUAGGAGAAAGGUUUUCUUUUUUUUUUGGGUUGGGGGGGGGGGGGAGGGGGUGGAUGGUAGGGGAGGGAAUGGUUUUAGAUUCACUGAUAACAGAAAUGUAUAUUUUACUUUGCUUUUUUCUGUGCAGUACAAUCUAUUAUGUGCUAUUGAACAAUAUGUGUCUCUCACAUGUUCAUGCCCCACCUUUCAGAUUUUUAUUGGCAAAACUGUAUGACUGGAUGACUUCUUUUUUUCUUUGAUUUUUUAAUGAUGUUUCCUUUUUUUUGUCAAGGAUGUGGCACUCUUAUUGCAAUGAGAUAAGCAACUUCUUAGUAUGUUACAGAUAGUGGCCUGACAAUAUGAUAGUCAAAGCAACUGUACUUUCUGUGCUUAUGAAAGACAACGUCGUGCUAGUCGAAUAAUAUUCUUGUUAUUACAAAUUAAUGGUGUAAAAUUAAAAAUAAUAUAUUCUCGUAUUCAAAGGUGCCCAUGGAUCCAUGUGACAUUUUGGAGUCAGUGCCUGCAAUGGCUUGAUAUUCAACCUGUGUUCAAGCGGCAACCAUUAUUUGCUUUUUUAAUUUGCCACGAGAAAAUCGAUUCAGCUUCUUCCAAAUAGCUCUAAUAAUUGCAAGUAACAGAAUACAUAAACUGGCCAAACGAAAGUUAUAUGUUUACGAGAAGCCCUAUUAAUAAGGGUCGGCUUAUUUGAUACAUCUAAGUUACAGAUUGUGGAAACUUAUUCGGGAACAUGUUACUCUUCAUGAUUUGAAUGUUAUGUUGAGCAGCAACUUUCUAGCACCUGUUCUUCUAGGCUUCUAGAACCGGGAUAUGUCUGCCUAGUAUUUGGUGUUUUCUUCAAUUAAAUGCAGUGCCAAUAGCACAUUAAUUGUAUGUAAAAUUUUAGCAUGCCAUUAUUGAGUGCAAGAUUUUGGCAUUUCAUUUGGAUGGUAUUCCUAUUGUUUUUAAAUAUUUUAAUUGAAUUAUAGUUUCGUAGAACCUUCAGAUGUUUGUCGUACUCUUAUCAAUUUCUCCUGCAGGCAGAUUGAGAUUGAUAGCAAAUUUUUGGAAACACAACACAUAAUGGAUUACAGCCUAUUGUUAGGUGUCCAUUAUCGGGCUCCCCAGCACUUGCAAUCACGUGCAUCCCAUCAUCGAAGUGUGACUGCAGACAGAUUAACUGUCCUUUCAGUGGAAGGUGAUGGCAUCAAAAUUUCUUGUAGAAUUAGUUUUUCUGCCUUUAUUGUUCUUAUUUGUGAAGAAAAAGCUACUAAACUACCAGGAAAAUAAGGUUCUUGCUUUUGAGUUGGGGUGAAGCGCUUCUUUUCUAGGAUGAAAAACUUAGAUGAAGAAAAACUGGUGUAUUUCUUUGAGAGAAAAUAGGCGUAAUAGAAACUGAAAAUUAAGUGAUUUUUUUGUAGAGUUGCUAAAUAUUUCCAAUCGAAAGACCUGUAAUUUCGAGUUAACAGGAAGAGUUCCCAAAAACAGUCCAGUUUAUAUUAUGCUUUAAUAAUAGGACAAUCAAUUAUUUAAUCUAGUGCUUAAUGGGACCCACCUAUGCUAUCUACCUGGAUUUCUUUUCCUGAUAUAUGCACAAUUUACUUCAUAAUGGUUUUUCAUACUUGACUCUGUUUAUCAAGUCUUAUCAACAUGCGUGCUUUGUUGGAACUGAAGAGAUAAAGAGACAUAUAUCAGGUCACGGAAUAUUUCAAAGAUGCUUAUAUUUAGGGAAUCUAAGAAUUGUUUUGAAACCUUCACUGAGGUGAAAAACACCUAACUUUAAACUUGGAAGGUUGUGAUAGCCAUUGACUACUUGCUCAAAAUACGGUAUUUCUGUUAGAAGAUUUCAGAUAUUAUUUUCUAAACUGCUCGCCAAUAUCACAAACUGGCUCAAAAUAAAAUCUGGAAAUUAGUUCCAUGUUAUAUUGGAUUCUAAUAUGCAGAGAGGUUAACACUAUUCCUAAACUACCAGAUUGCUGAAGCUUCAUGUAUAAUGUCCACACUGUGUAUUAGUGUUUUCUAAUUUUCUGCUUUUUUUUUGCCCAAUGAUGAUGACAAAGUAUCUCUCAUAUAGCAAUUGUUCAUGAUGCAUUUGCAUAUAAACAUAGAUGUUAGUCUUCACUUGUAGUAUGCUUUUCUUUAAUCUAUUACUAUGCCGCUUCCAAUUUCUGGACAUGUUUGAGAUUGAAAAAUGGAGUUUUCUGGCUCUAGGAUCAUCUUAAAUCUAUUUUUGGUUCUUGAAUCCAUGUAUUCCUAGAAAACAAAAGGAUUUUCUGUAUCCUAGAGAAUAGUGAUCCUUCUAGUGCUAGAGGUUACUGAUACUUUUAAUCAUUUGCUUUAUUGUGCAAGUUGUUAAUGGUGAUAGCCAGGUCAUCAUCAUGUAAAAUGCCAAAUAUAAUAUUACUAAAAGCCGUCUGGUAUCUAUUGCUUGUGUCAAUAUGCAUAGGUCUCUUGCUAAAAGCCUUGAAUCACUUUGCUUGGGAAGUGAUUAUAAGUUUCUUCAAUUAUUAUUCAAUUUCAGAUGUCCAAGAGGAUGAGAUUUUUAGCUACCCGCAGGGCCUUGUUUUGGUUCCACACGGGAGUGAUGAAAACAGUGUUGUUGUGGGUCCUCAUAUCAGAGGCAGCCGUUUAAGAGCAUCAGCCGCUGGUUUUGAGGAAGUGGAUCUGCUGCUUCCAGGCACAGCAAGGUGAGCUGUUUUAUUCGCAAUGUUUUUUAGCAACCCUCUCGAGCAGCUUGGCGCAUCCAUACCGUGCAAUGCUUUCCAUGAGAAGCAUAACCCAAAGGCCACAGGCCUUGUGCACUAGGAUUAGUUUGUGAUAUGAUGGUUGUCCUCAAUAUUUCAUAUUCGACAGCCUUAUUUUAAAUGUUACUUUGCCCAGGCUACAGAUCCAGCUCGGGGUUAACAUGCCUGCUAGAGCGGAGCAUAGUCCAGCAGAAGAUAAAACCCAGCUCCAUGAAGAAGUGUACGAUGUGGUUCUCUACUUGGGGAUAAUUGACAUUUUGCAGGAAUAUAACAUGACCAAGAAGAUAGAACAUGCUUACAAAUCCAUUCAAUUUGAUUCCCUUUCCAUCUCAGUGGUGGAUCCUGAAUUCUACUCGCAGCGAUUUUUAAGGUUUAUUCAGACAGUUUUCCCCGAAAAUCCCUAGCUUGUCAAAAGUUGCAUCUAUUUUUGGCAAAAUCCUUAUGAUCGGCUGGCUGGCCUAGAUUAUGUGCAUAGUGAAACAGUGCAUUGUAUAUUAGCUGAUGUAAAUAUUUUUGCAGAAAAUCAAGUUAAAUAAUUUAUCUUGUUUUUUUAUGCAACCAAUCCAAGGACCAGAGCUGCCUUUUUGUGCAUGCUGUUAACAAUUAUAGAAGGUGCAAUAAAUUUGCGCUGCUGUUUUGCUUUCUGCUCAAACCAGAAAAGGUACAGGAACCUGAAACAAUCGGGAGGUUGACUGUUAAAAACAAACAAGCUACCAACACAAUUAUUAGCGUGCAGGCUAGUUAGGGGAUUCAGAAUGGCAGAUUAGUGGAGUGUGCGUACCCGGUCCAAUUCAUGCACAAGUUUCUGAUCAAUGCUCAAAAUUGUGUUACCUGGAAUUACUGAAGCACUUCCCUCAGUGAUCUGAUAAAUACAUCAUUUCAAUUUCUGCCCCUACCACUUACUUUAAUUUCUAUUCCUUGGCGUGGAUGCUUAGAAAAAAAAAUCAUUGGCCGCGGGCAAAAUAAUUGAAGGUUCUUUCUGUGUUCAAAAAACCAAAAGUGAACUAGAUUGAACAUGUGGAAUUGAACCGUUGUAUUUUUUUAGUUGUUCAUGAAUCUUUAGAGCUUUUGGUACCAAAGAUCUAUUUGAUUUAAAGAAGAGUCAAAAUAAAAACAAGUUAAAUAAGUUACGGAAAUGCUUACCUUCAACAUGAAUCUCCAUGUGGUAGAUCCCACUUUCUCUUGCUAAACUUAUGGAAACAGGUCUUGGAUUACCAGAGUGAUGCAAAAGUUGGCAAAGCUUUGGCAGAACAGACUUUGAACAGAAAAUGCUGUUAAUCCUGGCAUAUCCAACUGCUGGAGCAAUUCGCCAAAUCAAAGUUGCAUCAUAGGGUCAAAACAAAAGUCACCAUUUUCCCCUAGGUACAUAUUUGGUGUUUAACAGCAUUAAUUCUCACAACCACAAUCAAAAGCACCCGAGUAAAUUUUUCGCAUCAACAAUUUUCAACAUUAGAAACAUGCUAAACAUGCAGAUCCUCGUCAAGGCAAGUCUUAAGUUUCAUAAUGUGCGGUCUAGCAUGACAGUAUCUGAAAUUGCAGAAAGAGUAAGAAUAAAAAAACCGUGCGCAUCAUAUUACAAACGAUUCAUUGUCUCAAGUGAACGUAUAUCUGUCAGUCCGUGCACCCUUCAGUUGAAAAAAGCCACAAAUAAAUAUCAUAAUAUGCAAUACAUAUGGUCCAACAUUUUAAGGUCCUUUUCUUCCUCGAGUUUUAAAUGUGUUCAAAUCACUUGGUCAAAAGAGUAUCUAUUGAACAGACAAACAAGCUUACUUGCUAUAAAUACACAAUCCCAUUUUAUAGCUUAUUGUAAGAAGUAAUGCCGAUAGGAAGAAAAGAUAGAAGCCACCACGUAGCAUCAUUGACACUGGUCCACCCUGCAUCUUUGAAAUUGAAUCAAGAAGUAUAGAUUUUCUAACUUCAUUACCAGCCAGUCCGUAAGAAAGGAGGAAGCCCACAUCUCCGUUCUUCUGCAAGGACCAGUGUUCUGUGCUGCCUGUCACAGUUAAACCACGUAUUUGGAUCAUCCCAGCAGUGACAUGUAUCGAGCUGGCUGAGUUGGUUGUGGAGAUUUGUCCAGCACGUUUCUCUGACCCAGCAGGAUAUUCUGCAGCAAUAGCAGGGGGGGCCGAGAUUGAGCCCAACAUGUUCACAAGACGUUUUGUGAUAGUAUUAUCAUUGCUCUCAUUCCCCUGUACAUCUGCACCACAAAAUUUAAGACCUUGCAUUCAGAACAAAUAUCAUGUAUGCCCAAAAGAAGGCCAGUCCAUGAGAAAAUCUUCGAAAUAAGUGCCUGGACCAUCUAGACUGUAUGCAACUUGAUCAUCACCAAAAUUUCAUUCUGCUCUUGCAAACCCAAACUAAAUAGUCUCAGAGGCUAUCCUUUAUAAGGAAAAACAGUUGUGAUUUGCAAACAAGGAAAUUUUGAGCGAUCCAUACGGUAAUCAGACUUUAACCAGGUCCAGACUUUUACAGAAACAGCUUAGAGAGUCGCAAUGCAAAAGGUGUAUUUAAUUUCCUAGGAGAAAAUAUUUGAUCUCAAAAACCAUACCUGGCACGAUGUUAACAUCAGUUUUACUAUAAAACUGAUUAAUACCAUCAGGUAAGCUAAUGGAGGAUGAUGCGCGACUUGUAACAUUUGGUUCUGGUGCCUGUGGGUUAUCCUUGUUUUGUUGAGCAUUGAUGCCAUCAAACUGCAAGCAAGAAUCAUAUGAUAUGUUACCUCAUCUAUACAAUCAAUAAAUACACGCUUGAUUGAAGGAUAGAGCAACUUCAUUUGAGGUUCUAAUGGGGCAUACCUCUGGAGUGAGGUUGAACUGGUCCAAGAUACAAGAAUUCAUACACCCCGACUUUUCUAAGGAACCUGCAGUAUCAACAUGUAAAUUAUCAUCUGUGGCAUCAAAGUACCCCAUUAACUUAUCCACCGCAUCAAACCCAGAUGGAUCAGUGAUAGGCGAGUACAGGAGUUGAUUCAGUUCUGGAAAAUUAUCCUGGCUAAAUCCUAGGUCAUUGCUAGGUGCAUCAUAAAACAUCGUGUUUUCCUCAGCCAAUUGACUUGAAGGACAAUCACCAGCUACAGGAUUUGUGAGAUCAAUUGAUUGCAGAUUAUAAUUAUCCUGAACUGUCGGGGACAUCUGAACCAGUUCCGGCCUGUCUGUGUUUUCAUUCACGGUGUCGAAAAAUUCCUCCACAUCAAGGAUUUCUUCUAAAUUGAUGGUAUCAUCUACUCCAUCCACAGAUUUCCAAUCAUUACAAGUCCUUAAAGGGCAAACUACAGAGUCUUCACUAGGAGGAUCUUCUGGAUUUACAGUAUCAGCAAGAUCAUUAAGCUCCACAUAUCCAUCAUUUUGGCUCGGAGGAGUGUGAGACCUAUCUGUCAUGCCAAUAUUGUCGCCCAUGUCAUUAAUAAGCACUGGGCUGUUCUGCAGCCUAGGUUCUUCAAUGCAUUCCACAAUCGGGUCUUUUAGCAUCUGCUGAUUCUGCUCCAGUACAACCGAAGGAUCUUCUUGAUGGCUGCUACCAUCCUGCCCAUCAGGAACCACCAUAAAACCAGCAGCAUUUGCUUGUUGAUUGUCUGUGUAUUGGUUCUGAAAACAUUUAAAGAUGUUCAAAUGCAGAUCUCAGUCAACAGCAUAAUAACGAUGGUGAAAAAUAUCGAUGCAAUGUCACCCGACAAUGUACGUUAAAAAGAUCAAACAAAGGAUUGUAGAUACAUCGGUUAAAGACUUUGAAACUUAUGGUUUGUUUAUUUUAAAAUGGCCAAUUCAUGAAAUAGUAACAGCCUGCAAUAAGAGUAAAUACAUGUACAAAAUUUAAAAUAUUGCCCUGCAGGUUGCUGAUGUAGACUGCAAAUUUGAUAGAAAUAGACUUGCUUGUUCUCAUUAAGCAAAAUUCAACCAUGAACCAAACAAACCUUCAAAUUUCACACUAACAGUUAAACUUAUAUUAAAAGAAAAUUAUAAAUGAUGAAUGAAAAAAAUACAAUAUUGGAUUUACAAUUGUGAUAAUCAUAGGCCUUAAAGUAGGUCUUAAGAGAAACUUUGCAUUACCCAUCAUUGGAUGUUUGCACAUUCAGAGAAUAAUGUCUUUUAUGAUCCCAAUUUUUUCGCAAAAAACAAACAAGGGAAGCACUAAUACUUUAAAUUACAUGUCAUGUCCGUAUCAGAUAUCAAUACUCACUGGAUACUUCUUGAGUAUGUGUCCAAUAAUCGUGUUAUAUAUCUUAUUUGUCAAAAUUAGAAAAAAAACUUGGGACACUUUUCAAAUACACUUGAGAUCAAGGUUCGCCGUACCAGUACCGAUAGGCGUACCGGUCGCCUACCGGACCGGUACAGUUUCGGUUCGUACCAGUUUAAACUAGUACCGAACCGGAACACUCUUCGCCGCCGAAGCCGGAGAAGAAGAAGAGAACAAGAGAGCAAGCGGGGGAGGGAGGGAGGAGAGGUCGCUCGCGGAGGGCCACGAGGGGGCUGGCGGAGGUUGGGGGGCGGCGAAGGCCGGGGGGCGGGGGGACGGGGAAGCCCGCAGGGGUGUGGCGGAGGCCGAGGCCACGAAAAAAAUAUAGAAUUUUUAAGUGAAGUCGGCAAAUCGAAAAAAACAAGGGACGCGGCCGCGGCCUUGGCCUCCACCGGUCCCCUGCGGGCUCCCCUCCCCCCCCCACGCGGGCUCCGCCGCCCCCUCAGCCUUCGCCGACCCCUCACAGCCCUCUGUGGGCAGCGAAGACCUCUCCUUCCUCCCUCUCUUCCCCACUCUCUCUCCCCUUCUCUUCGUCUUCCCCAGCUCCGGCUGGGUUCGGCCCGUCCCAGUUUCCACGGCUCCGACGUACCGGUUACAUGCCAGACCGGUCCGAUACAGCCCGAACCGGCCAGUACAGGCCGGCUCGUCAGACCAUGCUUGAGAUACUUCUCUAAUACCCCAAAAUUUGAGGUCAAGGAAGGAUCUUUUCUUUCUACAUUUAAUGGUGAUCCUUCAACAAUAAAUGGUCAAUAUUGGAGUUUAUCAUGUUAAUGUUAAAAUAUAAGUAUGGAUUGGGUCUACGGAUUUGAACGAUCACUAAAUGGCGAGCUUGCAAAAAUCGAUGUUAUCAUAUAAUGGUAAAACCAUGGUCUGCCGUACCAGUCCGUACCGGCCGGUACGGGCCGGUACGUACCGGUCUGGCCUGGGACCGGUACCGGAUCAGCGUGAAAUCCGGUACCGACAAUUUAUUGUUGAAGAACCGGUACGGGACCGGUUCGGACCGGUACGCCACCGGUUCGGACCGAUACGGGACCGAUUUCGUACCGGUCCGGGACGCCACCGAUACGCCGACCGGUACCAGUACGGCGGACCUUGGGUAAGACUAUGCAAUUUUGAUGACUUAUAUAUGUGUAUAUAUAUGUAGAAUACGAAUGUACUCAUUGAUGCAUCUUGCUCAUAUCAUAUCCUAUAUCCAUAUCCAUGUCCAUGCUUCAUAGCUUAGUCCAUAAGCUUCUCCUACACCCCCAUCUAAAGAAAGGAUUUUUGUAUUUUAACCUAAAGCAAGCAACUAGAAAGUAUGGAUACUUAAAUAUUCAUACCAUGUUCAUAUCUAAUACGUAUUAGAUACCAAUACUUUGUCAAAUACUUCUAGGAUACAUGUCAGACCAUAUUUUAUGUAUCUUAGUUUUACUUUUUUUAAAAAAAGAUUUUGGAUACUUUUCAAAUACCCCCAAGAUACUUCCUCAAUCCCUUGAAAGGUGAGGGGCAAGGCUUUUCUUUUUUUCCUUUUAUUUUUUGAUGAAUGUUGACCUUUCAUUGAUGAAUGGUUAUUUUGGAAUUUGUAAUGUUGAUACUAUCAUAUGAAGAAUGGAUUAUGGUUUAAUGAUUUUAACGAUGAGUAAAUCUAGUUUGUAUAUAUUAGCAGCAAUGUUGUUGUAUGAAGUAUAGAAAGCUAUAUGAUAACUUAAUGUGCAUUAUAUGCAUAUUCAUUCAUUGUCAUAUCGUGGCCAUAUCAUAUCCUACUUAUUCAAUAUUUGUCAUAUUGAUGAAUUUAUAUCAUGUUGUAUUCACCUGUAUGGCUGUAUCCAUGUUUCUUUGUUUCACAAGCUAAUAUACAUAAUCUCAUAAGGAAUUCCAUACAAGUAUGUUUCAUCAAAAUCUUCAUGGACUACUUGGAUUAUUGGUUAACUAGUUUUUGUAAGAUGUCUCUUAUAAUCCACAUAUAGUUGCUACUAAAAAAACCUCAAUAGUUGACACAAAGGAAAAAAGAGAAGGAUUUUUGGCCUUGUGACCAGGUGAAUCUAUGGUAUUCAAAUCCAAAUCAUUCAUGAUUAGGGCGGUCAAUGCGCAAGUCAUAAUGGCCCAAAGACCUGAUCGGAAACAAAUUAGGCUCGAGCUCAACUUUUAUGGUUGCCAACUAGGCUCAGCUAGGGGUGUGUUCGGAUUGGGCCGGUUUAAGGAUAUUUUUGAAACUGACCUGAAUCAGUUUCUUAAAAACCAAAACCAAAACCAAAACUGAACCGAUCUCAUAGGAAAAUCGGUUCAAACCAACUCAAAAAAAAAAUCGAUUUGUUCCAUUCAGGUUAUCAGGUUGAAUAGAGCUCCGUUAAAACUCUAUUCUAUAGCUAGAAAAGAAAAUUUAUUGACCAUGAAACAAAUAUUCUCCAAUGGACCUAAGGCUUGCUGAUGGGCAAUGCUUGGAACAUGGAGACUGCCUUCAAUGGCUUGAUCACACCGCCAACAUCGAUCACCGGCCCGAUCCACUGGGCGGGCAACUAGAACGCACCAAAGAACAAAAUCCAACCCAAAUUUACAAAGAAAUGCAUCAUCAGAAAAGUCAAAAAAUCCUAACAGAUUACAUAAGAAAAAGAAAUCAACCAAUCAAACAAACAAAUUGAAUAAUCAGAGAACCAAAGGCCCAAAUCAAACAUCAUCUUUGAGCAUAUCAAGCAACAUGGUCUUCCCGACAUUAUCGAGCCUAAGGAGCAAGAUCUUGGCCUCCUACUAGAGCUCAAGUGAGGUGAGCAUGCCGUAAAACCAAUAUAUGAGGAACAUAGCUACCGGAGCCUCGAUUCACCCCCGACAAGAUCAGAUCGGUCAAGAUCUUGCUGUAAUUUGGCUGUAGGAGAUUGAAUCCAUAGGCCUCUAGCUGUGCUUCUUCCCAAAGACGAUAUAAUUCACGGACCAUUGAGGUAUAGUAGUCUUUAGGGUAGGAGGACCGGAUCAUCCGGGACAUGACAUGGGACAAGCCAAGGUGGUGUAGAAAGUCGAAUUACUAGAGGAGAAGCUCCCCAUAAUCCCAGCACCAACGAUGAUCACAUCGAACCCAUCUCCCCAGACCUCCAUCGCUCCUGCUCCUUGCUCUUUAAACCAAAGGGACAAACAGCUAAGGUAGAGGAAAGAGCACGACCAUGAAGCCAUGAGGGGCAAAAGGGGGCGGCUAGGCUUGAAAGGGGCGAGUAGGGUUUUUUUUUGAAGGAGGGACGAAUAGGGUUGAAAUGAACUAAACCACAACAUAUAAAUAUCAAGGGUUGAAAUGAACUGAGCUGCAACAUAUAAAUAUCAAGGGUUUGAUGAUUGAUGGCCAUUCAUACUUGAUCAGAGGGAUAGGAUCUAAAAGGGCUCAAGGGUGCUGGUUCCAUUGUCCCACAUGGACUAUUUACACAAAACUUCCUUUAAAACAAAAUCCUCACGAAGAAGGGCAACCCAAACAGGUUAUGCGGUUGAGCCAGGUCGGAUUGGCUUAGGUGUUUGGGCGCAAUUAGUGAUACAUCGGGUUAGAUAACUUAUUUUUAGUUGUGUAAGAUACAUACGGGUCGGUUCGAUUUAAGCCUUUUUUUUUGAAAUUUGAACCGAAAUUGAAAUUGUCUUUUUUGGUUCUAAACAAUUUCAAACCGAAACCAAACUGAAUAUGGGAAAAUCCGAUCCAAACCAAAUUGAAAAGAUCGGUUUGGGUCGAGUUUGUGGUUCAACCGAUUUUUUACACACACCUAAGCUCAACUUUUCGGGUUACAUGCCUGGCUCGAACUUGAAAAUUAAGGGCCGAUCAAUUUUCUUGCCAAGCCCGAGCUACGUAAAUGGUAAGAAAAUUUAAUGGGCCCGAUUCUAAGUCCAGCCUGGCCUAAAAGCAUAUACUGUGUCGAGUCGGGCUUGAGCCCAACACCUCCGACCCAAAAACAUAUACUAUCUUAGGCCAAGAUCGGUCUUGAGGUUCAAAUAUCAGGCUUUCUUCAGGACUAGGCUCAGCCUAACCUAACCCAUUGACACCCCUAUGCAUGAUAAAUAAACUUCAAGAAGGAGAUGGUUCGGUUCUCUAACUUCAUAAGCUAACAAAAAUUUGAAUCAACUUUAUCAAAACUUUGGCUCUUUUUUUUUUGAAGAUAGGUUGCUUGACAAAGUUCUAAAUCAUUUCAUCAAGACUUUUGGUUCCUUUUCUCACUAUUAUAAGGAUAGUUUCAUUAUCUAUGAAAGUCACAUGGUUCAUGCCAGCACCAAUCAGGAGAUCAAAUUCGUCAGAAGUUUAGAAAACUCAGAGUUCAUAGAUAAAAGGAAUCAACCGGGUUCCAAUGUUAGCUAAUCGGUCAAAAAGCUAAGUAGUCUAUGUCAAGGUAUGCUAUGCUGGUAUAGAGACCUCUACCGGUUGCCCGAUGGUGCAGUACAAUACCAUGCCAUUUCAUUUCUGGUUCGUACCAAUAUAGCCAAAUCCAAUGAGGGGGAGAGGGAGAGGGAGGGAGGGAGAAGCAGGAAGGGAGGGGGGAGGGAGAGGUAGGAAGGGAGGGAGAGAGAGGGUUGUCGAGCCCCCUCUCCUUCGGCCGCACGAAAAUAGGGGCGAAGCCCUUGUUUCAUUGAAGAGAAAAAGGGAGGGAAGUAGAGAGAGAGGAAGUAGAGAAAGGGAGAGGCCGAGAGAGGGAGAGAAAGACGGCUUUCAAGCCCCCUUUCCUCCAGCCGUGAGAUAAUAGGGGCGGUUCCUCCCUCUGUCUCUCUUUUCCUCUCCUCGCUCUCUCAUGUUUCGCCGGAUUUCACAAACCGAGAGGCAAAACCGUGCCGGUCCACACCCGGUACGACUCAGUGCACCCCAAACCACGAUUCAGGAUGGUACAACAUUCCUUGGUCUACUUGGAUUGAGGACUAAUUCUACAACUUUAGACAUCUCAUAGCCAAACCCUACAUCUCAUCAAACAAUUUAAAAGUGCCUAUCGUAUUAAUGAUAAAUAGAAUAUGCUUCCACACAAUACACCUAAUCUGUCAUGUUUGCUUUGAUCAAAUAGCCUCAGUCCUAGGAAUAUCAUGCAAGCUUCUGUCAACAAAGAACUCUUAGCCUCAGUGAGCCAAUAAACAACAAAAAGGGCAUCUUAAAUCAUUACUUAUAACACCUACAAUUCCAACUUGGACAUAGCAACUCCUGUUACAUCCAUGAUUGUUAAUUCUAGUUAUACCUAUUAAAACAUAAAUUAUACUUAAAUAAUGCUUCAACUAUGAGAAACCUUCUCUUUCAAAUUUGAUGGGGUUUUGAGGACUAUCAUGCUUUUCUCGUGGAAUAGGAUUGAACCAUCCCACCCCGUCUUGAUACUUGGGAUAGGGGAUAUCCCAGGACAUGCCGAUUGAGAUGCUAAGAUGAUGACAGGAUAGCCUCAUCUCGACACCUGGGACAGUACCCCAUCCCAAUGUCCUACAAGAUGUCCCAUUGAGAUUUAAAAUCAUAUGUAGUACUCAGAGUCACAUUGUUGAUUGUCAUGCAUGGUUAUGAUAAUAGUAGCAUGAGGAAACUAUUUAUGGGGUUUUAAUAGCAGCCAAGGUAUGUGAGCAACUAGGGUAACCCCAAACCACAUAUAUAGGCACAUAUUUGGAUAGUAUUUAGAAAUAUUAAAAAAUAAAUUAGGUUCAUAUCUUUAUACAAAGAAAGGAACUAAAACUUAGGGGAAAAAUAAAAAUAACUAUACACUUCCACACUAAUUAGACAGCCUACUACAGUUUAGCAUGGCAUGUAAAUCUUGAGAGAACAAAAGAUCAAUAUCCCCCAACAAUCUAUGCUCAAUUUUCAAGUAUACUAAUGCAACAAAAAAAAGUCUGGUAAAUAUUAGAUUAAGAAUAGAGAGGAGGCCUGAGCCAUAAAUAUAGGUUGUUUGGGCCCAUAUACGCACCUAACUAGAAAUGGCAAUGGGUUGGGUAUAGGUCAAGUAGGCUAUUACCUAUACCUGUUUGAGUGGAGCAACC